GGGAGUGACAUGGGUUCGACAUGCAGGGCUGAUGUCACACUGCAAGUCGCGGCGCCUGUCCGCGUUAACAAUGGGCUAGCACAAGAUAAGUGCCAACAACAAUACUCCGGCUUAUGCCUACGCCGCGUAAAAGCGGUUAAGCUAAGUCGCUAGCCCAGAAGAGGCUAGCCGUCCGCUCCAGCCGUCGUUACUCGGGUGGUUAAACGGGCGUCAUAAAAGGUAACGUGCGACCUCGCUUACGCCGAUAAGGUGGGGCCAAGACUUUCUCGGCUAGCGUCCGGCGUACCGCGUCAGUUGGGGCUACCGGAUAGCGAAAUUGAACAAUUGACUAAGCUUGUAGACGUGUGUCGUCGAUCUGUGUGGACCCCGGUUCGAUUCCGGGCACUUCCACAA
RNAcentral lists this transfer-messenger RNA (393 nucleotides) under Anaerolineaceae bacterium. It matches the Rfam family "transfer-messenger RNA". Rfam says of the family: Bacterial tmRNA, also known as 10Sa RNA or SsrA, is named for its dual tRNA and mRNA-like properties. Its role is to liberate the mRNA from a stalled ribosome. RNAcentral also lists the same sequence under 1 other name. Lineage: Bacteria; Bacillati; Chloroflexota; Anaerolineae; Anaerolineales; Anaerolineaceae. The record is from RNAcentral.